RNAcentral lists this transfer RNA (74 nucleotides) under Pseudolabrys sp. Its description in RNAcentral is "tRNA-OTHER". Lineage: Bacteria; Pseudomonadati; Pseudomonadota; Alphaproteobacteria; Hyphomicrobiales; Xanthobacteraceae. The record is from RNAcentral.
GUGAUUGACAAAAUGAAGGCAAAAACGGUUUCCUAAACCGGAGCUCGGAGGUUCGACUCCUCUCGGGACCGCCA